RNAcentral lists this ribosomal RNA (353 nucleotides) under uncultured bacterium. RNAcentral describes it as "bacterial SSU rRNA". It matches the Rfam family "Bacterial small subunit ribosomal RNA", at positions 8 to 349 of the family's 1533-position model. The record is from RNAcentral.
AGAGUUUGAUCAUGGCUCAGGAUGAACGCUAGCUACAGGCUUAACACAUGCAAGUCGAGGGGAAACGACAUCGAAAGCUUGCUUUUGAUGGGCGUCGACCGGCGCACGGGUGAGUAACGCGUAUCCAACCUGCCCACCACUUGGGGGUAACCUUGCGAAAGUAAGACUAAUACCCAAUGACGUCUCUAGAAGACAUCUGAAAAGAGAUUAAAGAUUUAUCGGUGAUGGAUGGGGAUGCGUCUGAUUAGCUUGUUGGCGGGGUAACGGCCACCAAGGCGACGAUCAGUAGGGGUUCUGAGAGGAAGGUCCCCCACAUUGGAACUGAGACACGGUCCAAACUCCGUACGGGAGCA